This 1284-nucleotide ribosomal RNA is filed under the name Glomeromycotina sp. Its description in RNAcentral is "SSU rRNA". It matches the Rfam family "Eukaryotic small subunit ribosomal RNA", at positions 85 to 1370 of the family's 1831-position model. The record is from RNAcentral. Lineage: Eukaryota; Fungi; Glomeromycota.
AACUGCGAAUGGCUCAUUAAAUCAGUUAUAAUUUAUUUGAUAGUACAAUUACUACUUGGAUAACCGUGGUAAUUCUAGAGCUAAUACAUGCUAAAACCUCCGACUUCUGGAAGGAGGUGUAUUUAUUAGAUAAAAAACCAAUAUCGGGCAACCGAUUCCACUGGUGAUUCAUAAUAACUUUUCGAAUCGUACGACUUUAUGUUGACGAUGAAUCAUUCAAAUUUCUGCCCUAUCAACUUUCGAUGGUAGGAUAGAGGCCUACCAUGGUGGUAACGGGUAACGGGGUGUUAGGGCACGACACCGGAGAGGGAGCCUGAGAAACGGCUACCACAUCCAAGGAUGGCAGCAGGCGCGCAAAUUACCCAAUCCCGACACGGGGAGGUAGUGACAAUAAAUAACAAUACGGGGUUCUUUAGGAUCUCGUAAUUGGAAUGAGUACAAUUUAAAUCUCUUAACGAGGAACAAUUGGAGGGCAAGUCUGGUGCCAGCAGCCGCGGUAAUUCCAGCUCCAAUAGCGUAUAUUAAAGUUGUUGCAGUUAAAAAGCUCGUAGUUGAAUUUCGGGGUUAGUAAGUUGGUCAUGCCUUCGGUAUGUACUGGCUUUACUGAUUCCUCCUUCUUGACGAACCGUGAUGUCAUUAAUUUGGUGUUGCGGGAAAUCAGGACUGUUACUUUGAAAAAAUUAGAGUGUUUAAAGCAGGCUAACGCUUGAAUACAUUAGCAUGGAAUAAUGAAAUAGGACGUUAAUCCUAUUUUGUUGGUUUCUAGGAUCGACGUAAUGAUUAAUAGGGAUAGUUGGGGGCAUUAGUAUUCAAUUGUCAGAGGUGAAAUUCUUGGAUUUAUUGAAGACUAACUACUGCGAAAGCAUUUGCCAAGGAUGUUUUCAUUAAUCAAGAACGAAAGUUAGGGGAUCGAAGACGAUCAGAUACCGUCGUAUUCUUAACCAUAAACUAUGCCGACUAGGGAUCGGAUGAUGUUAUUUUUAAUGACUCAUUCGGCGCCUUACGGGAAACCAAAGUGUUUGGGUUCCGGGGGGAGUAUGGUCGCAAGGCUGAAACUUAAAGGAAUUGACGGAAGGGCACCACCAGGGGUGGAGCCUGCGGCUUAAUUUGACUCAACACGGGGAAACUCACCAGGUCCAGACAUAGUAAGGAUUGACAGAUUGAGAGCUCCUUCCUUGAUUCUAUUGGGUGGUGGUGCAUGGCCGUUCCUUAGUUCGGUGGAUGAUUUGUCUGGUUAAUUCCGUUAACAACGAAACUUAACCUGCUAAAUGCUAAGCUAACUUC